CAAUAGCGUAUAUUUAAGUUGUUGCAGUUAAAAAGCUCGUAGUUGGAUUUCGGGUAGGAUUUGCCGGUCCGUCUUUGAGAUGUGUACUGGUAAGUCCUAUCUUCUUGUCGGGGGCCAGCUCCUGGGCUUCACUGUCCGGGACUGGGAGCCGACGAAGUUACUUUGAGUAAAUUAGAGUGUUCAAAGCAAGCCUACGCUCUGAAUAUAUUAGCAUGGAAUAACACGAUAGGACUCUGGCUUAUCUUGUUGGUCUGUGAGACCAGAGUAAUGAUUAAGAGGGACAGUCGGGGACAUUCGUAUUUCAUUGUCAGAGGUGAAAUUCUUGGAUUUAUGAAAGACGAACUUCUGCGAAAGCAUUUGUCAAGGAUGUUUUCAUUAA
This 379-nucleotide ribosomal RNA is filed under the name uncultured eukaryote. RNAcentral describes it as "partial 18S ribosomal RNA". It matches the Rfam family "Eukaryotic small subunit ribosomal RNA", at positions 592 to 976 of the family's 1831-position model. The record is from RNAcentral.